RNAcentral lists this ribosomal RNA (443 nucleotides) under uncultured bacterium. RNAcentral's name for it is "bacterial SSU rRNA". It matches the Rfam family "Bacterial small subunit ribosomal RNA", at positions 338 to 795 of the family's 1533-position model. The record is from RNAcentral.
CCUACGGGGGGCUGCAGUGGGGAAUAUUGCACAAUGGGGGAAACCCUGAUGCAGCGACGCCGCGUGAAGGAAGAAGGUUUUCGGAUCGUAAACUUCUAUCAGCAGGGAAGAAGAAAGUGACAGUACCUGACUAAGAAGCCCCGGCUAACUACGUGCCAGCAGCCGCGGUAAUACGUAGGGGGCAAGCGUUAUCCGGAAUCACUGGGUGUAAAGGGUGCGUAGGCGGUAGGGCAAGUCAGAUGUGAAAGCCCGGGGCUCAACCCCGGGAUUGCAUUUGAAACUGUCUUACUAGAGUGCAGGAGUGGAGAGCGGAAUUCGUGGUGAGGCGGUGAAAUGCGUAGAUAUUUGGAAGUACUCCAGUGGCGAAGGCGGCUUGCGUGUCUGGAACAGAUUGAGUGGAACGAAAGCGUAGGGGGCGUGCAGGAGUGGAUACCAUUGUAGUG